UAAAUAAACAAGCGUAAAUAAGAGCAUUACAGGUGUGGAAUAAACAAACAAGCGUAAAUAAGAGCAUGACAGGUCUUGAAUAAACAAACAAGCAUAAAUAAGAGCAUUACAGGUCUGGAAUAAACAAACAAGCGUAAAUAAGAGCAUUACAGGUGUGGAAUAAACAAACAAGCGUAAAUAAAAGCAUGACAUGUCUUGAAUAAACAAACAAGCGUAAAUAAGGGCAUGACAGGUCUGGAAUAAACAAACAAGCGUAAAUAAGGGCAUUUCAGGAGUGGAAUAAACAAACAAGCGUAAAUAAGAGCAUUACAGGUGUGGAAUAAACAAACAAGCGUAAAUAAGAGCAUUACAGGUCUGGAAUAAACAAACAAGCGUAAAUAAGAGCAGUACAGGUCUGGAAUAAACAAACAAGCGUAAAUAAGAGCAUUACAGGUCUGGAAUAAACAAACAAGCGUAAAUAAAAGCAGUACAGGUUUGGAAUAAACAAACAAGCGUAAAUAAGAGCAUUACAGGUGUGGAAUAAACAAACAAGCGUAAAUAAGAGCAUUACAGGUCUGGAAUAAACAAACAAGCGUAAAUAAGAGCA
Nematostella vectensis (starlet sea anemone) is the source of this 586-nucleotide long non-coding RNA. RefSeq lists it as uncharacterized. The transcript is spliced from 3 exons. Lineage: Eukaryota; Metazoa; Cnidaria; Anthozoa; Actiniaria; Edwardsiidae. The record is from RefSeq and is a predicted model, not a curated record.